This 26-nucleotide non-coding RNA is filed under the name Rattus norvegicus (Norway rat). The record is from RNAcentral. Lineage: Eukaryota; Metazoa; Chordata; Mammalia; Rodentia; Muridae.
UGGAGAGAUGACUCCAAUUAUGUCCC